GCCUUCGUGGUGUAAUGGUUAGCACACUCGACGCGUAUUCGAGAGGUCAGUGGUUCGAGUCCCGGUGAGCGCA
This 73-nucleotide transfer RNA is filed under the name Stegodyphus mimosarum. It matches the Rfam family "tRNA". From Rfam's summary of the family: Transfer RNA (tRNA) molecules are approximately 80 nucleotides in length. Their secondary structure includes four short double-helical elements and three loops (D, anti-codon, and T loops). Further hydrogen bonds mediate the characteristic L-shaped molecular structure. tRNAs have two regions of fundamental functional importance: the anti-codon, which is responsible for specific mRNA codon recognition, and the 3' end, to which the tRNAs corresponding amino acid is attached (by aminoacyl-tRNA synthetases). tRNAs cope with the degeneracy of the genetic code in two manners: having more than one tRNA (with a specific anti-codon) for a particular amino acid; and 'wobble' base-pairing, i.e. permitting non-standard base-pairing at the 3rd anti-codon position. The record is from Rfam by way of RNAcentral. Lineage: Eukaryota; Metazoa; Arthropoda; Arachnida; Araneae; Eresidae.